AUAUACACAGGAAGUUGAAACCCUAUGUGCCGCCACCAUUUUGCAUCGUCUCUCUCCUCGUCAUCUCGCUAUUUUUGGCAAGAUUUCAGAGGUGUAAGACUUCCUCAGGCUUGGCAUGGUCGAUUUGAGGCAAGCAUUAAUUGCUUCGCCUCAUCUCUCAUCCGUUACAACCCUAAACAAGCUUUGGAUUUGAGGAGUAGAAGAUCUCCAAGUUUCAAAUCUCGACAAAGGUUGCACAAAAGAAAAGUAAUCUUCUCACCUUUAUUUAUUUUUAAACAUUUUUUGUGUUUAGUAUGGUUCAGUUUCAUUAUGUUUGUUAAUAGCAGUUAGUUUGUGCUUAUAGCUGUUGGUAUAGCUUAGUUUCCAUUAUAUGAGUAAUUUAGUAGUAAUUAGCUCAUAUUGUUGAGGUUUACAUUUAGUUAUGUAUAGUCAGUUUAUGAUAUGAUUAAAUUAGUAGUACGUUAGUAGCAGGUUAGUCAUUUGCCCCCAUAUACUGAUACCUUACCUCCAAAUGUCAUCUGUGUAAUUCUCCUUUAGCUCAGUUAAUCAUGUGAUUAUUAGCUUAGUUGGUUAAUGAGUCCAGUUUGCCAUGUCUUAGUUUAGUAUGACUUAAAGAUUAUAUGUUAAGUUAACAACCAUAAUGAUCAAGUUACUAUUGGUAAAUGCUCAAGCAUGUUUAGUCUAGGGAUCUAUGUAUGUUAGUAAUGUUAUCAUUAAUGACAUGUUGGGUUAUGCUUAGUUCAAAUAGCCUUAUAUAUGUAUGUUUGGAUGAUAGACUAGGUCAUUUUCUCAUUCACCCUGCUUAAGCAUGUCAUUUCUGCAUUUGUUAAGUGACAUUUUAUCUACAAAGUUUGUUUUAGUCAAAUCUGUGAUCUACCUACUUUGGUUUAUUUAUUCUAUCUUGUUGUGUAGGUUUAUAUGGUUAUGUGUUUAAAUCCAAGUGAGCUUUAGUUAACCACUUAGGCUUUAACUUUCAAGAAUGCUUAAACCUUACAUAUGUGUAGUCAUUUAAGCCUAUCAGUAACUUAGUUCAUAUGUCUAGCUGCACAUUGCUAUGGUUGAUUCUUGUAUGUCAUCAGCUUGCCUGUUAGUCCAUGUAGCUCCUUAUUGCCUGUGAUAUGCAUAUAGAGGUGUUAUCAGUUAAUUAGUGUGGCUAGAAAUUUUCACAUUCAUCAUGCUUGUUUAGAUGGUUGUGGAACUGUUUAAUUUCUUUACAUCAUGUUUUGUCUAACUGUCACGACCUAAUUUCGCUGAGUCGCGCGGGCACCUACCUUUCUCACCUCGGUAGGCGAACCCUUAUCCCAACAAUCUUAAAGACAUGAAAUAAUAAAUAAAUAAAUAAAUAAGCGAAAAAGAUAGAAAUAUGUAAGUCUCACAUAAUAAUAGAUAAAGAAAUUUACGGAAGUAUGGAAUACAUCAAAACAACCCCAGAAUCUAGUCUAAUCAUACAAGAGCCUCUAACUAGAAUCUACAAGUCUGGAAAUGAUAAUAAUACAUCAAAAGUCUCAAUAUGUCCCAGAACAUCAAACUAAGACAUAAAUAAAGGAAGAAUCUUCAAGGCGGCGAAUGUCCUCGUGCUCACCCUGUAAAACUCUAAUCAGCAACCCUCGAACUACUAUCAGCCACGAGGAGUAGAGGUCAAACCCGCCUGGAACUCUGCAUUCAUAAAAGAAUAUAGCAAGUACAGGUCAGUACAAACAACAAGUACUGAUAGGUAUCAUAAGCCGACUAAGAUUAGCUAACAUAUAUCAAGACAAUAAAGUAAGAUGAAUAGGUAAAUAAACAAGGUAUAAGUCAAACACGAGCCAGUAAUCAAGUACACAUCAUCACCUAUGUUAUAGCAUCUAAACCCAAAUGUGUCAAUUCUCAACAUAUUCAAUCCGAAUUCGUAUAUCACAAGUACAUCACAAGAAUAUCACAAUAGAAGCCAUAGUACAAUGCAAUGCAAUAAUGUAUGAAGUGUGAAUGCAAUGCGUAUGCGCCGUACACAUGUACUCCGAUGUUGGAACAUCAUAUCUCGGCAGCACAACCUAUAGGGGACCCGCGAAGUCCAUAUACCUUACGAUUCGGGCAACAACCUCGGCAAUCGCUACCAACCCUCAUCCUCGAUUCCGGAAUAAAAAUCGGACAUCCUUUCUCACGUCACUCUCAUCCAACUGAGCCCCGCUCGUAACAGUAUUUCCUUAAGUAUCAUCAAUGUAUCAACCGUAUAUCAUGAAGGAUGAGAAUGCGUACAAUGUAUGAGUUCAAUGUCAAUAAUCAAAUCAAUAUCAAAAG
Molecule: long non-coding RNA, 2277 nt
Organism: Lycium ferocissimum
Lineage: Eukaryota; Viridiplantae; Streptophyta; Magnoliopsida; Solanales; Solanaceae
Exons: 3
Source: RefSeq, a predicted model, not a curated record